CUCAGGGGUUGGGGUCCCUCAGCCCAGAUUGUGAGAGGGCACAGGCCAGGCCAAGGGACCCCACCAGUGCACG
Molecule: microRNA precursor, 73 nt
Filed under: Myotis brandtii (Brandt's bat)
Lineage: Eukaryota; Metazoa; Chordata; Mammalia; Chiroptera; Vespertilionidae
Description: mir-9193 microRNA precursor family
Rfam family: mir-9193 microRNA precursor family
Source: Rfam by way of RNAcentral